RNAcentral lists this small RNA (29 nucleotides) under Bombyx mori (domestic silkworm). Its description in RNAcentral is "ovarian small RNA-32455". Lineage: Eukaryota; Metazoa; Arthropoda; Insecta; Lepidoptera; Bombycidae. The record is from RNAcentral.
UGAUAGUCAGCAGCGAGCGCCUCCGCUUC